UAGAGGAGUAUUCCAGGGAGA
Molecule: unclassified non-coding RNA, 21 nt
Filed under: Mus musculus (house mouse)
Lineage: Eukaryota; Metazoa; Chordata; Mammalia; Rodentia; Muridae
Description: oocyte_clustered_small_RNA5574
Source: RNAcentral